CCAGAAGAGAGGAGGGAAAAGAGGGUGUCUAUGGCUUCCUCAAUUCCUUCCAUCAAGAUUGGAGUCUCUCCUCAUCCUUCUCAUAGAUUGCCUUUGAGGUCAUCCACCAUCAUCAGGAGCUCCAAAGCUGAGGGCCCCCUGAGGAGACCUGCAGCUCCUCUCUGCGCAACCCCACCCCACCCCCUCUUCUUUCUCCACCGCUUCCUCCAUCUCCUCCAAAGCUGAGGGCCCCCUGAGGAGACCUGCAUCUCCUCCCCACACCCGUCUUUUUCCUUCACCACCGCUUCCUCCAUCUCCUCCUGCCCCAGCACAGUCUCCUCCGAGGCCGGUUGAAGCGCCCGCAACCAAGGAGGGGAUGGUGACUUUGGAGUACCAGAGGGUGGUGGCAA
Molecule: long non-coding RNA, 389 nt
Filed under: Musa acuminata (dwarf banana)
Lineage: Eukaryota; Viridiplantae; Streptophyta; Magnoliopsida; Zingiberales; Musaceae
Description: long non-coding RNA (MACU_LNC003666)
Source: RNAcentral